Molecule: long non-coding RNA, 1380 nt
Filed under: Nannospalax galili (Upper Galilee mountains blind mole rat)
Lineage: Eukaryota; Metazoa; Chordata; Mammalia; Rodentia; Spalacidae
Description: lncRNA (ENSNGAG00000024464.1)
Source: RNAcentral
UGGGCUAAGGGUUAAAUGAUAAAGAAUAAGGCAACUCUAGGUAGGUGCAGAGAAUGGGGGAAGAGCAAAAGAUUCUGUAGGACAUCUCAAAUUUUAAGGCACGCAUAAAUCUCUCAGGAAUUGUGAUAAAUGCAUUCUGAUUUAGCAGAUCUCAGGUGAAACAUGGGGUGGGGCUCUCAUUUCUGACAAGCUACGGCACAGGUGAGGCAAGGCUACCCACCCUGGAACCACACUCACUCCAAACAGCAAGGAUGAAGGCCAUGACAAGGGGUUUGGAUUUUACUUUAAAUGAGACAGAAAGAAACUAUGGAAGGACUUUAAAUAAGUGAGUGACUUGAACCCAGUUAUAUUUAACAUCAAUCUUGUUUCCUAGAACUCCACUGGGGAGAGAAGGAGCUUGGGCCUAUGCUGUUUGACAGGAACCAGCUGGCCCAGGCUGUCACGGUGGCAGCCUGGGCCUCAAGCUCAUCUGGACAGUUCACCCUGUCUCUCUCCUCCGCCUGCUCUGUGGAAUCCCUUGGAGCCAAGCAUGGGCCAGCCCAGUUGCCCUACAAGCUGGGGUGCCCCCAAGAAGUCCUGGAGCCUGACAGGGUGUGGAUCCACAACCCUGACAGCCUGCCUGGGGAGCUGCUGGAGCCCUACUGGUCAGACGCUAGCGGCACAUCUCAAGAAAAUCUCAGAGAACCCGAAAUGGAGACUCAAGGGCCGGCACUUGUCUCUGGGGAGGGAAGAAGAGCGUCCCUUUAAGAAAGACUGGACCAGCUGGCUGCAAGACAGCUCCCACAGAUUUCCUGGCUCACUCCCUGGCUCCGCCCCCCAGCCUCAGGCCUCAGCAACGCGUGACGUAAGAAGAAGCUGAUGCUGCCGAUUGGCUAAACGACGCAGCUAGGUCAAGUCCAGUCGGAGGAAAGAAGUUUGUCUCCAUGUGGAAACCAUGUGUCUAGUGGUGGGAGGGGGAAGAGGAGGAGGCGGAGAAACUGAGAUCUAGUGAUUACUGGGGAACUCGCUGAAAAGAAGGCGGGGAGGUUGUGCACCUGAGUCGACCAGCUUGGCCUUUGCAGUAGUGACCUAAAAAAAGAAUGAAUAAUAAAAAAAAGACUUGCACAACAAACAAAACUUGGGUAUCCCCCUAUCAUAAUAAUUAAAAAAGCUUGAGGGAGGGGGGUCCUUUGCCUCCUCCAAAAAGACAGGGACCAGGGAAAUGCUGGAAUCCUAUCGCGAACGCCCAGAUCCCUCUCCCUCCCCCCAACAACUGAAUGAUGUAAGCGUUUCGGAAAGCAGAGCUGUGGAGCAAAACAAGCCCCGCACGCGCGGAGCGACCCGCAGUGCCCGAGCCCCGCGCACGCACGACCCGCCCCUCGACUCGCGUUAUUGCUGUGC